RNAcentral lists this unclassified non-coding RNA (216 nucleotides) under Hevea brasiliensis (rubber tree). The record is from RNAcentral. Lineage: Eukaryota; Viridiplantae; Streptophyta; Magnoliopsida; Malpighiales; Euphorbiaceae.
GCCGGGCAAUGGGAAGACCAGGUCCGGGAUUGUUUGAAGCAGAAUGAAGAGCUUCGUUCCGUACUGGAUAGAUUGAGAUCAGGACAAGUCAAUGAUUCACAGUCAAGUGAUGAUAGCGUCCGGUUAUAUGUGGAUACUGAGGGAAGUACUGGAAGCGUGUCUGUGCCUCGAGAAACCACAACUGAAAGUCAGUUACUUAAGGAUCAAAUCAUCAAA